RNAcentral lists this ribosomal RNA (731 nucleotides) under uncultured bacterium. RNAcentral describes it as "bacterial SSU rRNA". It matches the Rfam family "Bacterial small subunit ribosomal RNA", at positions 771 to 1501 of the family's 1533-position model. The record is from RNAcentral.
AACAGGAUUAGAUACCCUGGUAGUCCAUGCCGUAAACGAUGAGUGCUAGGUGUUGGAGGGUUUCCGCCCUUCAGUGCCGGAGCUAACGCAUUAAGCACUCCGCCUGGGGAGUACGACCGCAAGGUUGAAACUCAAAGGAAUUGACGGGGGCCCGCACAAGCGGUGGAGCAUGUGGUUUAAUUCGAAGCUACGCGAAGAACCUUACCAGGUCUUGACAUCUUGCGCUAACCUUAGAGAUAAGGCGUUCCCUUCGGGGACGUAAUGACAGGUGGUGCAUGGUCGUCGUCAGCUCGUGUCGUGAGAUGUUGGGUUAAGUCCCGCAACGAGCGCAACCCUUGUUACUAGUUGCCAGCAUUAAGUUGGGCACUCUAGUGAGACUGCCGGUGACAAACCGGAGGAAGGUGGGGACGACGUCAGAUCAUCAUGCCCCUUAUGACCUGGGCUACACACGUGCUACAAUGGACGGUACAACGAGUCGCAAGCUCGCGAGAGUAAGCUAAUCUCUUAAAGCCGUUCUCAGUUCGGACUGUAGGCUGCAACUCGCCUACACGAAGUCGGAAUCGCUAGUAAUCGCGGAUCAGCAUGCCGCGGUGAAUACGUUCCCGGGCCUUGUACACACCGCCCGUCACACCAUGGGAGUUUGUAACGCCCAAAGUCGGUGGCCUAACCUCUAUGGAGGGAGCCGCCUAAGGCGGGACAGAUGACUGGGGUGAAGUCGUAACAAGGUAACC